RNAcentral lists this ribosomal RNA (1458 nucleotides) under uncultured bacterium. Its description in RNAcentral is "bacterial SSU rRNA". It matches the Rfam family "Bacterial small subunit ribosomal RNA". The record is from RNAcentral.
AAUGAACGCUGGCGGCACGCUUAACACAUGCAAGUCGAACGAGAAAGUUCUUCGGAAUGAGUAAAGUGGCGAAUUGGUGAGUAACGCGUGGGGAUCUGCCUUUUAGUAGAGAAUAUGUUUAAGAAAUUGAAUUUAAUACUGUAUAUUUCCAUUUAUGGAGAAAGAUGGCCUCUUGCUAUCGCUAAAAGAUGAACCUGCGUACUAUUAGCUAGUUGGUAGGGUAAAAGCCUACCAAGGCGAUGAUGGUUAACCGGCCUGAGAGGGUGACCGGUCACAUUGGGACUGAGAUAUGGCCCUGACUCCUACGGGAGGCAGCAGUGGGGAAUUUUGCACAAUGGACGAAAGUCUGAUGCAGCAAUGCCGCGUGAAGGAUGAAGGUCUUAGGAUUGUAAACUUCUGUUGAUCAAGAAGAAAAGAUGUAAAAUAAUACUUUAUAUUUAUGACGUUAUUGAUAAAGAAAGCUCCGGCUAACUUCGUGCCAGCAGCCGCGGUAAUACGAAGGGAGCGAGCGUUAUUCGGAAUUAUUGGGCGUAAAGGGCGCGUAGGCGGUGCUAUAAGUUUAUUAUUUAAUCUCCCGGCCUAACUGGGAAAAUGUGAUAAAUACUGUGGUGCUAGAAUAUAAUAGAGAGGGAUGGAAUUUUCGGAGUAGCGGUAAAAUGCGUAGAUCUCGAAAGGAACGCCAAUGGCGAAGGCAGUCUCUUGGGUUAUUAUUGACGCUGAUGCGCGAAGGCGUGGGGAGCAAACAGGAUUAGAUACCCUGGUAGUCCACGCAGUAAACGAUGAUCACUAAACGUUUGGGCCUAUGGUCUGAGUGUUGUAGCUAACGCGAUAAGUGGUCCGCCUGGGUAGUACGAUCGCAAGAUUAAAACUUAAAGAAAUUGACGGGGGUCCGCACAAGCGGUGGAACAUGUGGUUUAAUUCGAUACUACGCGAGGAACCUUACCUGGGUUUGACAUAUAUGGGACAGUUGUAGAAAUACGAUCUUUAUAGGGAAACCUAUGACCCAUAUACAGGUGCUGCAUGGCUGUCGUCAGCUCGUGUCGUGAGAUGUUAGGUUAAGUCCUUUAACGAGCGCAACUCCUAUCAUUAAUUGCUAUCCUUUAUUGGAGCACUUUAAUGAGACUGCCUGGGAAACCAGGAGGAAGGGGGGAAUGAUGUCAAGUCCGCAUGGCCCUUAUAUCCAGGGCAACACACGUGUUACAAUGGCUGAUACAGAGAGUUGCAAACCAGUGAUGGUAAGCUAAUCUCAUAAAAUCAGUCUCAGUUCGGAUAGAAGUCUGCAAUUCGACUUCUUGAAGCUGAAAUCGCUAGUAAUCGCGCAUCAGAACGGCGCGGUGAAUACGUUCUCGGGCCUUGUACACACCGCCCGUCAAGCCAUGAAAGUUGUCUGCACCAGAAAGUAUUUUUGUUAACUGUUAAAAGAGACGAAUAUCGAAGGUGUGGGGGAUGAUUGGGGCU